RNAcentral lists this transfer RNA (75 nucleotides) under Nocardiopsis dassonvillei. Its description in RNAcentral is "tRNA-Arg(tcg)". Lineage: Bacteria; Bacillati; Actinomycetota; Actinomycetes; Streptosporangiales; Nocardiopsidaceae. The record is from RNAcentral.
CAGCGUGUGGCUCAAACAGUCAGAGCACCCGGCUUCGGUCCGGGAGGGUGCGGGGGCAGGUCCCGCCACGCUGGC